UCCCUGGUGGCUCAGAGGUUAAAGCGUCUGCCUGCAAUGUGGAAGAACCGGGUUCGAUCCCUGGAUCGGGAA
This 72-nucleotide transfer RNA is filed under the name Ovis aries (sheep). It matches the Rfam family "tRNA". From Rfam's summary of the family: Transfer RNA (tRNA) molecules are approximately 80 nucleotides in length. The record is from Rfam by way of RNAcentral. Lineage: Eukaryota; Metazoa; Chordata; Mammalia; Artiodactyla; Bovidae.